CCCAGCCCCAGCUCGGAGGGAGCAGCCGCCUGCCCCCAUGACGGCUCCAGAGCGCAGCCAGGACCCCGAGAGCCUCCUCCAGGCCGGCUCCAAACGCGCCUGCCCCUGUCGGAGCCUGGACUGGUGCCUGCUGCUGGGGCUGUGCGCCCUGGGCGCAGCGUUCCUGGCGCUCGCCUUGUUCUCGGCCUGGAGGGUCCUGCCCCGGCCGCUGGAGACCCCGGAGGCUCCCCUAGCCUCGUCCAGAAUGAGAAAGGAGGCUGGUGCCCAGAUGAUGCCCACAAGCGCUGUAAUCAAGGACAGUGUAAUGGAGUUCGAUCAUCUCCAGGGUAUUGAUGGAGUGGUUUUGAGCUCCCACUUCGACUACGACCACAUUUUGCACACGCUGGAGGUGAAGGUCGGCGGCCUCUAUUUUAUCUAUGCCCAGCUUGCUGUCAAAUGCGUUGGUGAUAAGUUAUCUUGCAGCAAGCCGCAAACAGUCAAACUGAUCAUCUACUGGCAGUCCAGGGGCACCCGCAGCCCUGUUUUGACCAUCUCUCUGCAUUUGUCCUCCAAUUUUGAAGAAACCAUGUCCAAGUUCUCGGCGGUUCUGCGACCUCUGAAAAAAGGCGACUUGCUCUAUGUGAAGAUGGACACUAAUAAAACAGACAUUGAGAACUGGCAGCUGGACCAAACCGACAAAAAAGACAACUUCUUUGGCCUCUUUAAGCUACCUAGUUCUGCUGAGUCAGCAGACCAGUAGGUGGGAGCAAGGACCUCUGCGGUGGGAGUGGCAGUCAGUAUAUCGUCUUCGGUUCUCUCGGACUCUCUGCUAGAGGUUGUGGAGGGUAGAUUCCACCUAGCAAAAUUCCCAGGGUAACAACCAGCAGCAGACACUGGGAAAACACGGUGUGUUGCUAGUUUUGGCACGAUACUGUCGCUUUGAGUGGCGACAGCUGGUUUCCAUUUGAAGCAGGACUGAAAGGGAAGGAACACACUGUGAGGCACGCUUGCCACACCGAAGAACUGGCGUGGGUCUGUUUUUAGCGAUCAGUGAUAUUUAUUAUGAUGUGUUUCUUUAACAUUCUGUAAUUUAUUGUAAGCAACUGGGAGAUUGAAUGAAAGGUGCUGGUUUUUUUUUUUUUAUUUGUGCGUGGGGGUUGCUUUAAUGUUGACAUGGACAGAUAUAUUUCCAUUGGGGCACACAGCAACCUUAAUAUUGAUAUAAUAAUUCCCGUGACUGUCAGCAUUGUGAUUAUCCGAUCAUUGCUGCACGUGGUAUUAGGCCAUCCCUUUGGUCUUAUGGUGGCUAGUGUAUGGUGCUGAUCAGUGUGGUUUAGCCAUUGCCCACUGUUGGCUGGCAUUGCAACUGCUCAGUCAUGUGUCAUAGGCCCUAUAUUGCUGAAAGCUACUGGAGAUUCUCUUUUAGUAGAAGUAGAUUGAGGCCUGUUCUUCUGGAGUAGAAAGGUCUGAGAUCUAUCUGAGCUUGUCACCAUGAAGCCCUGAGAGGCAACAGAUUUGUUACAAGAGGGUGUUUGCCUACUCAUUAUAUUUUGCAUUCUGGGAUUAUGUAUCUUAAAGCAGAGAGUGUCAGCAUCUGUGUGGCCCCUCCCCCAAAAAAUUUACUACUAAAAAUACACUUAUGAAAAUUCAUCUGUUUGAAACUUAAUUGGAAAGAGUCCGUUUAGAAUUUAAGCAGCCUUCUGCCAUGCUCCUAAAAUUGGGUCUUACUCACUAGCACAAUGUCUCGUCAAUUUCCAUUUCCUGGUUGUGGUGUUAGCUCAGGGUGGAAAUUGACUAGCGGGUUUCCACUGUACAAUCUGAGUGACGUGUAAACAGCGUAAAUGAGAUUAUUAAAAAACGUAUUUAAUCCCUAAUAGUCACUUGGCCGGGGGUCGCAAGAGCUUUCACGGGAGGCUUCCUGAGUUAUUUAAGAAGAUUGUGAUUAUUUUUAAAGCAAUUUAGAGAUGCUUAAAUUAGCAGAUACAACAGUUGCCAAGUUUCAUGACUUUAUCACGAGUCUUAGGAUAUUUAGUCCUUUUCUUAAAGCCCCAGGCUCUGGUGUCAUGUGAAUGCAUCAACGUCUCAGGAAUCGUUUUAACAGAAAUCAAUCCUAGCUCUAGUUUGUGGAGAAAUGCUGGAAAAAAGUGGCCCUCUAAAGUGCAAAAUCCAGAAAGCAAAUAAAACUAAUUCCAAUUUUAUUUAUAUCCUUUUA
This 2191-nucleotide long non-coding RNA is filed under the name Gopherus agassizii (Agassiz's desert tortoise). RNAcentral's name for it is "lncRNA (ENSGAGG00000010193.1)". Lineage: Eukaryota; Metazoa; Chordata; Testudines; Testudinidae. The record is from RNAcentral.